GACGAACGCUGGCGGCGUGCCUAACACAUGCAAGUCGAACGGAAAGGCCCUGCUUUUGUGGGGUGCUCGAGUGGCGAACGGGUGAGUAACACGUGAGUAACCUGCCCUUGACUUUGGGAUAACUUCAGGAAACUGGGGCUAAUACCGGAUAGGAGCUCCUGCUGCAUGGUGGGGGUUGGAAAGUUUCGGCGGUUGGGGAUGGACUCGCGGCUUAUCAGCUUGUUGGUGGGGUAGUGGCUUACCAAGGCUUUGACGGGUAGCCGGCCUGAGAGGGUGACCGGCCACAUUGGGACUGAGAUACGGCCCAGACUCCUACGGGAGGCAGCAGUGGGGAAUAUUGCACAAUGGGCGGAAGCCUGAUGCAGCAACGCCGCGUGCGGGAUGACGGCCUUCGGGUUGUAAACCGCUUUCGCCUGUGACGAAGCGUGAGUGACGGUAAUGGGUAAAGAAGCACCGGCUAACUACGUGCCAGCAGCCGCGGUGAUACGUAGGGUGCGAGCGUUGUCCGGAUUUAUUGGGCGUAAAGGGCUCGUAGGUGGUUGAUCGCGUCGGAAGUGUAAUCUUGGGGCUUAACCCUGAGCGUGCUUUCGAUACGGGUUGACUUGAGGAAGGUAGGGGAGAAUGGAAUUCCUGGUGGAGCGGUGGAAUGCGCAGAUAUCAGGAGGAACACCAGUGGCGAAGGCGGUUCUCUGGGCCUUUCCUGACGCUGAGGAGCGAAAGCGUGGGGAGCGAACAGGCUUAGAUACCCUGGUAGUCCACGCUGUAAACGGUGGGUACUAGGUGUGGGGUCCAUUCCACGGGUUCCGUGCCGUAGCUAACGCUUUAAGUACCCCGCCUGGGGAGUACGGCCGCAAGGCUAAAACUCAAAGGAAUUGACGGGGCCCCGCACAAGCGGCGGAGCAUGCGGAUUAAUUCGAUGCAACGCGUAGAACCUUACCUGGGUUUGACAUGGAUCGGGAGCGCUCAGAGAUGGGUGUGCCUCUUUUGGGGUCGGUUCACAGGUGGUGCAUGGCUGUCGUCAGCUCGUGUCGUGAGAUGUUGGGUUAAGUCCCGCAACGAGCGCAACCCUUGUUCACUGUUGCCAGCACGUUAUGGUGGGGACUCAGUGGAGACCGCCGGGGUCAACUCGGAGGAAGGUGGGGAUGACGUCAAGUCAUCAUGCCCCUUAUGUCCAGGGCUUCACGCAUGCUACAAUGGCUGGUACAGAGAGUGGCGAGCCUGUGAGGGUGAGCGAAUCUCGGAAAGCCGGUCUCAGUUCGGAUUGGGGUCUGCAACUCGACCUCAUGAAGUCGGAGUCGCUAGUAAUCGCAGAUCAGCAACGCUGCGGUGAAUACGUUCCCGGG
RNAcentral lists this ribosomal RNA (1343 nucleotides) under uncultured bacterium. RNAcentral's name for it is "16S ribosomal RNA". It matches the Rfam family "Bacterial small subunit ribosomal RNA", at positions 28 to 1378 of the family's 1533-position model. The record is from RNAcentral.